This 443-nucleotide ribosomal RNA is filed under the name uncultured bacterium. RNAcentral's name for it is "partial 16S ribosomal RNA". It matches the Rfam family "Bacterial small subunit ribosomal RNA", at positions 338 to 795 of the family's 1533-position model. The record is from RNAcentral.
CCUACGGGGGGCAGCAGUGGGGAAUAUUGGACAAUGGGGGGAACCCUGAUCCAGCGACGCCGCGUGAGUGAAGAAGUCUUUCGGUAUGUAAAGCUCUAUCAGCCGGGAAGAAAGCAAUGACGGUACCUGACUAACAAGCCCCGGCUAACUACGUGCCAGCAGCCGCGGUAAUACGGAGGGGGCAAGCGUUAUCCGGAUUUCCUGGGUUUAAAGGGAGCGUAGACGGCGAUGCAAGUCUGAAGUGAAAGGCGGGGGCCCAACCCCCGGACUGCUGUGGAAACUGUAUGGCUGGAGUGCAGGAGAGGUAAGUGGAAUUCGUAGUGUAGCGGUGAAAUGCAUAGAUAUUAGGAGGAACACCAGUGGCGAAGGCGGCUUACUGGACUGUAACUGACGUUGAGGCUCGAAAGCGUGGGGAGCAAACAGGAUUAGAUACCCCAGUAGUC